This 253-nucleotide ribosomal RNA is filed under the name uncultured bacterium. Its description in RNAcentral is "partial 16S ribosomal RNA". It matches the Rfam family "Bacterial small subunit ribosomal RNA", at positions 524 to 776 of the family's 1533-position model. The record is from RNAcentral.
UACAGAGGGGGCAAGCGUUGUUCGGAAUUACUGGGCGUAAAGGGUGCGUAGGCGGCGCAGAAAGUAGGGUGUGAAAUCCCUCGGCUCAACCGAGGAACUGCGCCCUAAACUACUGUGCUCGAGGGAGGUAGAGGUGAGCGGAACUUAGGGUGGAGCGGUGAAAUGCGUUGAUAUCCUAAGGAACACCGGUGGCGAAAGCGGCUCACUGGACCUCUUCUGACGCUGAGGCACGAAAGCUAGGGUAGCGAACGGG